UAACGCAUUAAGUACCCCGCCUGGGGAGUACGAUCGCAAGGCUGAAACUCAAAGGAAUUGACGGGGGCCCGCACAAGCGGUGGAGCAUGUGGUUUAAUUCGACGCAACGCGAAGAACCUUACCAGGGCUUGACAUCUACCUGAAGCAUAUUAGAGAUAGUAUGUUCUCUUCGGAGCAGGUAGACAGGUGGUGCAUGGUUGUCGUCAGCUCGUGUCGUGAGAUGUUGGGUUAAGUCCCGCAACGAGCGCAACCCUUAUUCUUAGUUGCCAUCAGGUAAUGCUGGGCACUCUAGGGAGACUGCCGGUGACAAACCGGAGGAAGGUGGGGAUGACGUCAAAUCAUCAUGCCCUUUAUGUCCUGGGCUACACACGUGCUACAAUGGCCGGUACAACGAGUUGCGAGACAGCGAUGUUUAGCCAAUCUCUUAAAGCCGGUCUCAGUUCGGAUUGCAGGCUGCAACUCGCCUGCAUGAAGUCGGAAUCGCUAGUAAUCGCGAAUCAGCACGUCGCGGUGAAUACGUUCCCGGGCCUUGUACACACCGCCCGUCACACCACGAAAGCCAGCAACACCCGAAGCCGGUGGCUUAACCGUAAGGAAAGAGCCGUCUAAGGUGGGGUUGGUGAUUGGGGUGAAGUCGUAACAAGGUAACCAAGGGCGAA
Molecule: ribosomal RNA, 659 nt
Filed under: uncultured bacterium
Lineage: Bacteria
Description: bacterial SSU rRNA
Rfam family: Bacterial small subunit ribosomal RNA
Source: RNAcentral